GGUCUGCUAAUUAUUUUUGUAGUUUGUAGUCUAGCAGACCAAUACCAAAAGCUUUGGGUCUGCCAGACUACAAACCACACAAAUCACUAGCAGACCCUUUUUUUUUUUUU
This is a microRNA precursor of Caenorhabditis elegans, 110 nucleotides long. NCBI's taxonomy places the organism in Eukaryota, Metazoa, Nematoda, Chromadorea, Rhabditida, Rhabditidae. The record is from Ensembl.